GACGAACGCUGGCGGCGUGCUUAACACAUGCAAGUCGAACGGAAAGGCCCUGCUUUUGUGGGGUGCUCGAGUGGCGAACGGGUGAGUAACACGUGAGUAACCUGCCCUUGACUUUGGGAUAACUUCAGGAAACUGGGGCUAAUACCGGAUCGGAGCUCCUGUUGCAUGGUGGGCGUUGGAAAGUUUCGGCGGUUGGGGAUGGACUCGCGGCUUAUCAGCUUGUUGGUGGGGGAGUGGCUUACCAAGGCUUUGACGGGUAGCCGGCCUGAGAGGGGGACCGGCCACAUGGGGACUGCGAUAGGGCCCAGACUCCUACGGGGGGCAGAGGUGGGGAAUAUUGCACAAUGGGCGGAAGCCUGAGGCAGCAACGCCGCGGGCGGGAUGACGGCCUGCGGGUUGUAAACCGCUUUCGCCUGUGACGAAGCGUGAGUGACGGUAAUGGGUAAAGAAGCACCGGCUAACUACGUG
This 468-nucleotide ribosomal RNA is filed under the name uncultured bacterium. RNAcentral describes it as "partial 16S ribosomal RNA". It matches the Rfam family "Bacterial small subunit ribosomal RNA", at positions 28 to 507 of the family's 1533-position model. The record is from RNAcentral.